This 401-nucleotide ribosomal RNA is filed under the name uncultured bacterium. RNAcentral's name for it is "bacterial SSU rRNA". It matches the Rfam family "Bacterial small subunit ribosomal RNA", at positions 356 to 774 of the family's 1533-position model. The record is from RNAcentral.
GGGGAAUAUUGCACAAUGGGCGAAAGCCUGAUGCAGCAACGCCGCGUGAGUGAUGAAGGCCUUCGGGUUGUAAAGCUCUGUCUUCUGGGACGAUAAUGACGGUACCAGAGGAGGAAGCCACGGCUAACUACGUGCCAGCAGCCGCGGUAAUACGUAGGUGGCAAGCGUUGCCCGGAUUUACUGGGCGUAAAGGAUGCGUAGGCGGAUACUUAAGUCAGAUGUGAAAAUCCCGGGCUUAACUUGGGAACUGCAUUUGAAACUGGGUAUCGAGAGUGCGGGAGAGGAAAGUGGAAUUCCUAGUGUAGCGGUGAAAUGCGUAGAGAUUAGGAAGAACACCAGUGGCGAAGGCGACUUUCUGGACCGUAACUGACGCUGAGGCAUGAAAGCGUGGGGAGCAAACA